Molecule: ribosomal RNA, 505 nt
Filed under: uncultured bacterium
Lineage: Bacteria
Description: bacterial SSU rRNA
Rfam family: Bacterial small subunit ribosomal RNA
Source: RNAcentral
GACGAACGCUGGCGGCGUGGAUUAGGCAUGCAAGUCGGACGGUAGGGCUUUAUCGUAAGAUAGAGUUUGAGAGUGGCGAACGGGUGAGUAACACGUAGGAAUCUACCCUUAAGACGGGGACAACCCAGGGAAACUUGGGCUAAUACCGGAUGAGAGUGCGAGAGAUUGCAUUUAAAAGGAUGGCGAAAGUUAUCGCUUAGGGAUGAGCCUGCGGUCUAUUAGUUAGUUGGUGGGGUAAGAGCUCACCAAGGCGAUGAUAGAUAGGCGGCCUUAACGGGUGGUCGCCCACAUUGGGAUUGAGAUACGGCCCAGACUCCUACGGGAGGCAGCAGUCGAGAAUAGUCUACAAUGGCCGGAAGGCUGAUAGUGCGACGCCGCGUGAACGAGGGAGCCCUUCGGGUGUAAAGUUCUUUUCUAUACGAGCAGUGCUAUAUAUAUGGAUAGUAUAUAUAGAGGGAUAGUAGUAUAGGAAUAAGCAACGGCUAACUCCGUGCCAGCAGCCGAC